Apis dorsata (giant honeybee) is the source of this 2124-nucleotide long non-coding RNA. RefSeq lists it as uncharacterized. The record is from RefSeq and is a predicted model, not a curated record. The transcript has 3 exons. Lineage: Eukaryota; Metazoa; Arthropoda; Insecta; Hymenoptera; Apidae.
UGGUAUUAACGUUAUCGGGGAUCGAUCGUUCAAGGAAGCCUUGGACGAAUCUGUGGAUUUUCCAAAUAGGAGGCAACCGAUGGGGAGACUACGUGGUAAUUGCGACAGUUGUAAUUACCAGUGUAUUAACCGUUGCAAAUGUCGAACGAGCCAACCUCGAGCCCGCAAGGUUUCCCCCGUAAAUAGGGGAAGAAGAUUGUCCAAUUAACUGUCUCGUUUAAUUGAAUCUUAUUUCCUUUUCACUUGGUCCAGUUUCAUUGGGGCUUCUGCGCUUUAUCGCGUGAGUCGAAUGUAAUGCACGGCGAGGUCGGAAGCUUGGCCGAAGAACAACCCACGACAAAAGAGGGAUCGAGUUGAACGUCGCGGGAUAUUUUUGGCCAUACUCCCGCCCACUCCAGCCUUCGACAGCUCGCAAAUUGUCGUCGUCGAGUGGCGCGUGAAUAUCGUGGAAACGGACUGUUCUACCGUUUAAUGCUCGUUUAGACGCGCAGGGUAUUCUUUCAAAUUUUUUUCAGACAAUUCGUUUUGCUGUCGGUGGAACGAGGAAGAGGAGCAAGGGAUGAAGAUGAAGGGGGGAGAGAGAGAGAGAGAGAGAGAGCUCGAGGAGAGAAAGGAAGAUGGCAAAGUAGGAAGGAGCAAUUCCUCGGGACGAGGAGACGAGACGAGACGAGACGAGACGGAGGUGAAGGUAUUCUUUUUAAGGCGGAACACUUUACUGCUGCUCGUUCCACGCUGGUAAUGGAGAAUCCCCCAGCCGCCCCAACGAAUUAAUUCGGGGCUAACGCCGAGACACUCCCCGAUAUCGAGUCACUUCGUUCCACGGGCCAGUAUUCUCACGCCGAGGAAGAAUCAAUGGGAUUCCUCUUUCCUCCACACGACGCCCAAAGCACGUGCCAUUCGCCGCAGAAUCCACUUCUCUCUGAAAUUCUUGCCUCGUCGAGCGUCUCCUUUCCUCCAAUGAAAAUUCAGAAGAUUCCAUGGGAAAAUCAAAAAUCAAAAUCCAAGAGAUGGCUUCAAGAGAGUACAGGGUGCCUUCCGAAGCAUCUGUGGAAGCGCGCGCAAAAGAGAUGAGCGUGAUCGGGGCGCGAGGAGAAGAGAGGUUGUACAGAGCAACAGAGAAGGGGAGAAGCGAGAAAGAGAGGGAAAUUCAAAGAUGGCGCCACGCGUGUGCCUGACAGAGACGAGGAACGGGAGCUGAAGCGAGGCAACCGCCUUCGCUUCUUUCCCCUCUCGCGUUUGGCGAAGAGUGACCGGCCCGAAAAGUCCGAAUCCGAUCGUAGAAUGGCUCAGUAGUGCGCGAGACACAUUUCGUGACGCGUGCUCGUCGUUGGUAUCGAUAUCUUUCGAUGAUUCACGAGCAUUGCGACGAGAGUACGCGGCGACCAAUCCCCGGUUCCGUUACAUCAGCAUCCGACUACGUGGGUCCUCGACGAUUGGCUCUCUCUGUGCUGCGUUCGAGUUCUCUCUCUCUUGCACGCGUUACAGCCAGAAUAGGAGAAAAAAAGAUACUCGCAGCUUGUGUUUCCUCGCGGUGCGGCUUAUUCUCGAACUAGAUACAUACUACGCGCAUCGUGUUAUUUGCCGAGGAGCGUGUGCAUUUUCGUUUAACCAGAUUUUCGGUGGAAACGUGGAGAAAAUACGCGUAGAGAGAUUUUCGACGACGAGGAGAAACGCGAGGAAGACACGAGCCAGCAGCCGAGCGACAGACAGAGUGAGAGGAAGGGAAGCUAGAGGGAGAGCAGCAGAGUACGGGGUAUUUUGGACGCAGAUCGAUCGGUCGCUCUCCGGUUCGCGCCAUGUGACCGGUCAAAGACCAGUCUGCAUGGGAUAGGAGGUUAGAAACUUAUUCGGCAUCUUCCGAGUGUAUUGUCGCGUGGCGGUGUGUUUGUUCGUUGAUCAACCGAGAAAAUGAGAUCCGUCGAGUGAUGUAGUAGUGUCAGUAGCGCGUGAGCCAGUGAACGAGGUAGUCGUUUUUUUUCGUAGAGUCCGUUUAUCGGACAUUCGCGGUGGCGGGCUUCGAGGAGCAUGAUCGUGAGGGAAAAGAGAACCGAUUUUACCGCGAAAGAAUGUCGUUGUCUCGGGUCAGAUAUAAAAAUAAAAAGAAGCAGACUUAUGUCUCAAGGC